AAAAAGACCCUCGGCAACGGAUAUCUCGGCUCUCGCAUCGAUGACGAACAUAGUGAAAUGCGAUACUUGAUGUGAAUUGCAGAAUCCCGAGAACCAUCGAGUCUUUGAACGUAAGUUGCGCCCGAAGCCAUUAGGCCGGGGGCACGUCUGCUCGUGCAUU
RNAcentral lists this ribosomal RNA (160 nucleotides) under Capsicum eximium (Ulupica de Chaco). RNAcentral describes it as "5.8S ribosomal RNA". It matches the Rfam family "5.8S ribosomal RNA". Rfam says of the family: 5.8S ribosomal RNA (5.8S rRNA) is a component of the large subunit of the eukaryotic ribosome. It is transcribed by RNA polymerase I as part of the 45S precursor that also contains 18S and 28S rRNA. Lineage: Eukaryota; Viridiplantae; Streptophyta; Magnoliopsida; Solanales; Solanaceae. The record is from RNAcentral.